GCCCUCUAGCUUCGUCCCCAUGAGAUCUGAACACUGAUCUGAGUGGUUACCACAGGAGGAAAAGUAACAUUGAAACUGACUUCAAGAGUUUUGCAGCAUAUGGGCUAGUUUCAAACCAGU
This 120-nucleotide small nucleolar RNA is filed under the name Echinops telfairi (small Madagascar hedgehog). Its description in RNAcentral is "Small nucleolar RNA SNORA61 (ENSETEG00000024500.1)". It matches the Rfam family "Small nucleolar RNA SNORA61". Rfam says of the family: ACA61 is a member of the H/ACA class of snoRNA that guide the sites of modification of uridines to pseudouridines. Lineage: Eukaryota; Metazoa; Chordata; Mammalia; Afrosoricida; Tenrecidae. The record is from RNAcentral.